RNAcentral lists this ribosomal RNA (484 nucleotides) under uncultured eukaryote. RNAcentral's name for it is "partial 28S ribosomal RNA". It matches the Rfam family "Eukaryotic large subunit ribosomal RNA", at positions 341 to 667 of the family's 3401-position model. The record is from RNAcentral.
CGAACAAGUACCGUGAGGAAAGUUGAAAAGAACUUUGAAGAGAGAGUUCAAUAGUACGUGAAACCGUAGUAGGGGUAAACGGGUGGAAGCGCUUAAUCGAGUCGAAGAAUUCAGAUUAGCAUUAGGUUUUCAGUUGGCGCACUUUUAUAGUCUUGCUAGAAGUGUCCAAUAACAAAGCUGAUGCUGGUUGCACUUUUUUCGAUUCGAGCGCCUCGACAGAUUGCCAUUUGCGCGCACACUAAUGGUAUUAACUCGGUACCGUGACACGUUUGCGGACUUAUAAGUUGAUAUUUAUGCGUUUAUGGCGAUCUUGGAUAGCGAGUAUUAGCGCAAGCGAGAUAAGUAGUCAUAUGGUGGCUCGGACUGGAUCUACUCCCUGGUGAGUUCUUUCUAACCGAGUUGCCUUACUGGUUGCUUUUCUCAUAAUACUCAAGUCAGAGGCGAAUGGUCGUAAAUCUACCCGACCCGUCUUGUAACACGGACC